RNAcentral lists this small nuclear RNA (23 nucleotides) under Arabidopsis thaliana (thale cress). Its description in RNAcentral is "snRNA_05122". Lineage: Eukaryota; Viridiplantae; Streptophyta; Magnoliopsida; Brassicales; Brassicaceae. The record is from RNAcentral.
UUUAUAUUUUACAGUUUAUAAUU